This 444-nucleotide ribosomal RNA is filed under the name uncultured Sphingomonadaceae bacterium. Its description in RNAcentral is "bacterial SSU rRNA". It matches the Rfam family "Bacterial small subunit ribosomal RNA", at positions 335 to 797 of the family's 1533-position model. The record is from RNAcentral. Lineage: Bacteria; Pseudomonadati; Pseudomonadota; Alphaproteobacteria; Sphingomonadales; Sphingomonadaceae.
UGCCUACGGGGGGCUGCAGUGGGGAAUAUUGGACAAUGGGCGAAAGCCUGAUCCAGCAAUGCCGCGUGAGUGAUGAAGGCCUUAGGGUUGUAAAGCUCUUUUACCCGGGAUGAUAAUGACAGUACCGGGAGAAUAAGCCCCGGCUAACUCCGUGCCAGCAGCCGCGGUAAUACGGAGGGGGCUAGCGUUGUUCGGAAUUACUGGGCGUAAAGCGCGCGUAGGCGGCUUUGUAAGUUAGAGGUGAAAGCCCGGGGCUCAACCCCGGAAUUGCCUUUAAGACUGCAUCGCUAGAAUCCGGGAGAGGUGAGUGGAAUUCCGAGUGUAGAGGUGAAAUUCGUAGAUAUUCGGAAGAACACCAGUGGCGAAGGCGGCUCACUGGACCGGCAUUGACGCUGAGGUGCGAAAGCGUGGGGAGCAAACAGGAUUAGAUACCCUAGUAGUCGC